Molecule: ribosomal RNA, 279 nt
Filed under: uncultured bacterium
Lineage: Bacteria
Description: partial 16S ribosomal RNA
Rfam family: Bacterial small subunit ribosomal RNA
Source: RNAcentral
UGCCAGCCUCCGCGGUAAUUCUGAGUGGGUUAUCGUUGUUCGGAAUUACUGGGCGUAAGGCGCACGUAGGCGGAUUAGUAAGUUAGGGGUGAAAUCCCGGGGCUCAACCCCGGAACUGCCUCUAAUACUGCUAGUCUUGAGUUCGAGAGAGGUGAGUGGAAUUCCGAGUGUAGAGGUGAAAUUCGUAGAUAUUCGGAGGAACACCAGUGGCGAAGGCGGCUUUCUGGACCAAUACUGACGCUGAGAUGCGGAAGCGUGGGGAGCGAACAGGAUUAGAUA